ACAUUAUUAAUUGUAAUUGUAUUAAUUGAGAUUGUUGGAAUUGGAUUUAUUGAAGAGCUAUUGUCAGAAGAGGCUAGUAGUGUCUGUUCCAAGAUUGUUGUGGAUUAAUGUGAUAUAGAUUCAUUGAGGUGGUAUACAAGGUCUUCAAAGAAUAAAGUUUUUUUUUUGGAGGAAGAGUGGGAGAGAAGAUUGUUGGUAGAUUUAUCGGUAUUCUCCAAUAAAAUUUACUACCUUUCAUCCAAAUUUAUAUAAAUAUGAUGUUUUUUUUUAUUGUUUUAGCCUUUGUAGUACAAUUGUGACAUUGUAGAUUCCACCAUGCUUCCAUUUCAA
RNAcentral lists this long non-coding RNA (330 nucleotides) under Physcomitrium patens. RNAcentral describes it as "long non-coding RNA (PPAT_LNC004624)". The record is from RNAcentral. Lineage: Eukaryota; Viridiplantae; Streptophyta; Bryopsida; Funariales; Funariaceae.